ACAUACGACCAUAGGGUGUGGAAAAUAGGGCUUCCCGUCCGCUCAGCCGUACUCAAGCCACACGCCGGUGAGUUAGUAGUUGGGUGGGUGACCACCAGCGAAUCCUCACUGUUGUAUGU
This 119-nucleotide ribosomal RNA is filed under the name Penicillium rubens Wisconsin 54-1255. Lineage: Eukaryota; Fungi; Ascomycota; Eurotiomycetes; Eurotiales; Aspergillaceae. The record is from RNAcentral.